Molecule: ribosomal RNA, 253 nt
Filed under: uncultured bacterium
Lineage: Bacteria
Description: partial 16S ribosomal RNA
Rfam family: Bacterial small subunit ribosomal RNA
Source: RNAcentral
UACGGGGGGGGCAAGCGUUGUUCGGAAUUACUGGGCGUAAAGGGCUCGUAGGUGGCCAACUAAGUCAGACGUGAAAUCCCUCGGCUUAACCGGGGAACUGCGUCUGAUACUGGAUGGCUUGAGUUUGGGAGAGGGAUGCGGAAUUCCAGGUGUAGCGGUGAAAUGCGUAGAUAUCUGGAGGAACACCGGUGGCGAAGGUGGCAUCCUGGACCGGUAUUGACGCUGAGGCGCGAAAGCCAGGGGAGCAAACGGG